This 921-nucleotide ribosomal RNA is filed under the name Staphylococcus epidermidis. RNAcentral describes it as "bacterial SSU rRNA". It matches the Rfam family "Bacterial small subunit ribosomal RNA", at positions 27 to 929 of the family's 1533-position model. Lineage: Bacteria; Bacillati; Bacillota; Bacilli; Caryophanales; Staphylococcaceae. The record is from RNAcentral.
GGAUGAACGCUGGCGGCGUGCCUAAUACAUGCAAGUCGAGCGAACAGACGAGGAGCUUGCUCCUCUGACGUUAGCGGCGGACGGGUGAGUAACACGUGGAUAACCUACCUAUAAGACUGGGAUAACUUCGGGAAACCGGAGCUAAUACCGGAUAAUAUAUUGAACCGCAUGGUUCAAUAGUGAAAGACGGUUUUGCUGUCACUUAUAGAUGGAUCCGCGCCGCAUUAGCUAGUUGGUAAGGUAACGGCUUACCAAGGCAACGAUGCGUAGCCGACCUGAGAGGGUGAUCGGCCACACUGGAACUGAGACACGGUCCAGACUCCUACGGGAGGCAGCAGUAGGGAAUCUUCCGCAAUGGGCGAAAGCCUGACGGAGCAACGCCGCGUGAGUGAUGAAGGUCUUCGGAUCGUAAAACUCUGUUAUUAGGGAAGAACAAAUGUGUAAGUAACUAUGCACGUCUUGACGGUACCUAAUCAGAAAGCCACGGCUAACUACGUGCCAGCAGCCGCGGUAAUACGUAGGUGGCAAGCGUUAUCCGGAAUUAUUGGGCGUAAAGCGCGCGUAGGCGGUUUUUUAAGUCUGAUGUGAAAGCCCACGGCUCAACCGUGGAGGGUCAUUGGAAACUGGAAAACUUGAGUGCAGAAGAGGAAAGUGGAAUUCCAUGUGUAGCGGUGAAAUGCGCAGAGAUAUGGAGGAACACCAGUGGCGAAGGCGACUUUCUGGUCUGUAACUGACGCUGAUGUGCGAAAGCGUGGGGAUCAAACAGGAUUAGAUACCCUGGUAGUCCACGCCGUAAACGAUGAGUGCUAAGUGUUAGGGGGUUUCCGCCCCUUAGUGCUGCAGCUAACGCAUUAAGCACUCCGCCUGGGGAGUACGACCGCAAGGUUGAAACUCAAAGGAAUUGACGGGGACCCGCACAAG